AUGGUGAUUCUCAAGUUUCUCUGCGUCGUCCCCAGGCAGUACAAGCAACUGGCCUGGUCCAUCGAGAGCUUGGUGGAUCUCUCCACCAUGACGAUCGAGGAGCUGGUAGGGCGACUCAAGGUCGUCGAGGAGCGCGGCGACGAAGCCGACAACCGUGCUGGCGGCAAACUACUGCUCACCAGGGAGCAGUGGGACGCGCAACUUCAGCAGCGCGGCCGCGACGGCUCUUCCAACAGUGGGGGAGGCGCCCCCACGGGAAGCAGAGGUCACGGCAGAGGCGGAGGCCGCGCCCAAAGCGGCGUCGGCAACCGCGAUCGCAAGCCAAGCCUGGCAGGGCGAGGCACUGGCAACGGUGGCAAGUGCCGGUACUGCAACAUGCCGGGUCACUGGAUCCGGGAUUGCCGCAGGAGGAAAGCCGACGAGGCAGCCGCGACAACGACAAACCUCGUCCAGGCUGACAUGGACGGCGGGCCGACAAUGAUGCUGGCAAGAGUCGAGCCCAUGCAGGAGAGCACGCCGUCUCUCGUGACCACGGCUCCGAGAACCACCCAUUCCGUGCAGGAGGCACGGAACCCGUCCACGGGAACCAUCACUCCAGUGACAGGCCACACCUCGACAACGACGUUUUCGGGGCCUGUCGACUGGGAGGCGAUGAAGGCUCGGGUGUGGGGGAGCCACACCCCGACGACAGCGUCCCUGAACUCGGGACCCGAUGAGAUCGUGCAAGUUGGCGCGGCAACGACGCAUAUGGCGGACCAUGCUCCGACCAUGAUGCUGGCGACCAUCGACUCCGUGCAGGAGCGCACGGAGCCUCAGGUCAGCCACACCCCGACAACAAAGUGUUCGGGGUCCACCGUGUUGACGGGAGAUGGCUCCCUGACAACGGCAUGUGCGUGCGGCUACGUCUUCCUCAACGAGGAGAGAGCCGUGACCACACCCACGCUUGCAGGCGGCAAGCAAAGUGAGGGUUGGUUCCUCGACACCGGCGCCACGAACCACAUGACUGGUUCGGUCGACGCGUUCGCGAAGCUGGACUGCUCAAUCACCGGGAAGGUGCGGUUCGCGGACGGAUCCGUGGUGGAGAUCCACGGGCGCGGGACCGUCGUCUUCGCCGACAAAGGGGGUGAUCACAGGGCGUUCACGGACGUCUACUUCAUCCCGGCGCUCAAGAGCAGCGUCGUGAGUGUCGGACAGCUCGACAAGGGCUGGUUCGACAUCGGCAUCCGGCGCGGUGUUCUCACCGUGCGCGACCAGCAGAAGAGGCUGCUUAUCGAGGUAACCCGUUCGCCAAACCGCCUCUAUAAAUUCUUCUUUCAACCCGUGCAUCCUGUGUGCCUUGCCAUGGGUCAUGUCUCCGACGCGUGGCGUUGGCAUGCCAGGCUAGGAUACCAGCACUUUGACGGGUUACGGAAGAUGGCACGAGGUAACCUUGUUCAUGGGCUACCUCGCAUCAAGCACGCCGACGAGUUGUGCGAUGCAUGUCUUGCCGAGAAGCAGCGGCGCCUGCCCUUUCCCGAGAAGGCACGCUAUCGGGCGCAGAAACCCAUGGAGCUGGUUCACGGGGACCUCUGCGGCCCAAUCACCCCGAGAACGCCAGGAGGGCGUCGCUACAUCCUGCUGCUCGUCGACGACUACAGCAGGUUCAUGUGGGUGCUGCUCCUCGCCUCCAAGGAUGAGGCAGAGCGAGCCAUCGUCAAGCAGCAAGCGACAGCAGAGGUCGAGUGUGGCCACAAGCUGCGCGUGUUACGCACGGACCGUGGCGGCGAGUUCACGUCGGCCACGUUCUACAGGCACUGCGACAAGAAAGGGGUGCAACGUCACCUCACAGCCCCUUACUCGCCGUAG
RNAcentral lists this ribosomal RNA (1845 nucleotides) under Triticum aestivum (bread wheat). RNAcentral describes it as "partial small subunit ribosomal RNA". Lineage: Eukaryota; Viridiplantae; Streptophyta; Magnoliopsida; Poales; Poaceae. The record is from RNAcentral.